UACGUAGGGUGCGAGCGUUAAUCGGAAUUACUGGGCGUAAAGCGUGCGCAGGCGGUUUUGUAAGCCAGAUGUGAAAUCCCCGGGCUUAACCUGGGAAUGGCAUUCGGGACUGCAAGGCUGGAGUGCGGCAGAGGAGACUGGAAUUCCUGGUGUAGCAGUGAAAUGCGUAAAUAUCAGGAGGAACACCGAUGGCGAAGGCAGGUCUCUGGGCUGACACUGACGCUCAUGCACGAAAGCGUGGGGAGCAAACAGG
This 253-nucleotide ribosomal RNA is filed under the name uncultured bacterium. RNAcentral describes it as "partial 16S ribosomal RNA". It matches the Rfam family "Bacterial small subunit ribosomal RNA", at positions 524 to 776 of the family's 1533-position model. The record is from RNAcentral.